GAUGAACGCUGACAGCAUGCUUAACACAUGCAAGUCUUUGGCGAAUCUGUGCUUGCACAGGCUAGCCAAGGCGGACGGGUGAGUAACGCGUAAAGAACUUGCCCUGCAGACAGGGAUAACAGACGGAAACGACUGAUAACACCUGAUACAGUUGCCGGCACGCAUGUGCCUGGCAAUGAAAAGAGAUGCUGCAGGAGAGCUUUGGGUCCUAUUAGCUUGUUGGUGAGGUGACGGCUCAACAAGGCGAUGAUAGGUAGCCGGCCUGAGAGGGUGAACGGCCACAAGGGGACUGAGAUACGGCCCUUACUCCUGGGGGAGGGAGGAGUGGGGAAUAUUGGACAAUGGGGGCAACCCUGAUCCAGCAAUUCUGUGUGCAAGAAGAAGGUUUUCGGAUUGUAAAGUGCUUUCAGCAGAGGAGAAGAAAGUGACGGUACCUGCAGAAGAAGCGACGGCUAAAUACGUG
Molecule: ribosomal RNA, 463 nt
Filed under: uncultured bacterium
Lineage: Bacteria
Description: partial 16S ribosomal RNA
Rfam family: Bacterial small subunit ribosomal RNA
Source: RNAcentral